AUUGAACGCUGGCGGCAGGCCUAACACCUGCAAGUCGAGCGGAGCGGCGGACGGGUGAGUAAUGCCUAGGAAUCUGCCUGGUAGUGGGGGAUAACGUCCGGAAACGGGCGCUAAUACCGCAUCCUAUCAGAUGAGCCUAGGUCGGAUUAGAUAGUUGUGGGGGUAAAGGCCUACCCAGGCGACGAUCCGUAACUGGUCUGAGAGGAUGAUCAGUCAAACUGGAACUGAGACACGGUCCAGACUCCUACGUGAGGCAGCAGUGGGGAAUAUUGGACAAUGGGCGAAAGCCUGAUCCAGCCAUGCCGCGUGUGUGAAGAAGGUCUUCGGAUUGUAAAGCACUUUAAGUUGGGAGGCGUUACCAACAGAAUAAGCACCGGCUAACUUCGUGCCAGCAGCCGCGGUAAUUC
Molecule: ribosomal RNA, 407 nt
Filed under: uncultured bacterium
Lineage: Bacteria
Description: partial 16S ribosomal RNA
Rfam family: Bacterial small subunit ribosomal RNA
Source: RNAcentral